RNAcentral lists this long non-coding RNA (400 nucleotides) under Nicotiana benthamiana. Its description in RNAcentral is "long non-coding RNA (NBEN_LNC026747)". The record is from RNAcentral. Lineage: Eukaryota; Viridiplantae; Streptophyta; Magnoliopsida; Solanales; Solanaceae.
AAGAAGCAAAGGUAAGUACUUUCUUCAAUUAAAUGUUUGUUGAAGCUGUUUGAUGUAUUUUGUUGCUUAACUUUGCCGCGAAUUAAUCAUCUAUAAGGAUUUCGUUCUUUUAAUCAAUUUAUGGGUUUGAGUAUGAGCUUAAAUAUCUAUUGUUGACCGAUGGGUGUAUUUUUUAUGAGCUGAUUUUGUUUGCAUGGGUUGCGUAGGUGUGUUUUCCGUUUCUGUUGAUUCGAGAUAGAUUUAUUUUUGGAUUUGUGUAUUGUUUGUGGUCGCCCCUGUUUGAUAAUUUAUUUUCUGAUAUUUUUUGAACAGUUUGUUGUUUCUGUUAUACACCAAUUUUCUGUUUCAGUUUUAGGAUAGUCUUCUGUUUCAGUUUAUCUCAUAUGUUGUCAAUUUUCAU